AGCAAGCCACUGGGACAGCGCAACAAGGGGCUUUCCACGUAUUAAAAGGAAUUGUUGGCAAUCUUGUUAGCUGUUGAACAAUGGCGGCAAUAUCUGCAAUCUGCUGAGUUCGUGAUCAAGACCGCCUAGUGCAGCCUAGUUCACCUUGAGGACCAGCGUUUGCACAGCCCGUGGCAACAGAAAGCGUUCACUAAGCUCUUGGGACUGUGCUAUCGAAAAGGGUCUCCCAAUGGUGUGGCGGAUGCCCUCUCCCGAUGCCCAAUCUGCGUCACUGAUUAG
RNAcentral lists this ribosomal RNA (279 nucleotides) under Triticum aestivum (bread wheat). Its description in RNAcentral is "partial small subunit ribosomal RNA". The record is from RNAcentral. Lineage: Eukaryota; Viridiplantae; Streptophyta; Magnoliopsida; Poales; Poaceae.